AAUCAAGUUUUAAGAAGGUGGUGGUGGGGGGGGUGGUGUUUUAACACUAGUAUUUUCUUUUUUCCACCCUAACUGGAGGGCUAAUGUUUUUUUCCCCCACCCCAUGCCUGAUUUAGAUUGUAGUAAUCUGCCUAGACAACUGCACCCACAAAUCCCACUGCAUUUAAUUCACUUCAUUUACACGCAAAUCUAAACUCAACACACUUUUCCCUGGUGGGGUGUUUCUAGUGGGAGCUAGUUGUCUGCAGUUCCAUGUGAUACCUAAAAUCCAUGACCAGAAACAGAUAAGGGCGGGGGGGUGUGAGAGAGAGAGCAAGCGCCUGCAGAAAGUGUGUGUGUAUGUAGAUAAAGCUCUGCAUGUGUGGGAGCGGAGGGUAUAUGUUUGUAUGUGCGUGUAUGUGAAGAUAAGGGUGUGUGUGUGUGAGCAGAAGGUAUAUGGUUGUGUGCGUGGAUAAGGCAGUGUGUAGAUAAGGGAGUGUGAGAGAGUGAGCAGGGGGGCGGGUGGCGCUGGCGGAUCAGCUGUGCGGACCGGCUGGGCUAAAACAAAGGCAUGUUUCAGUGGCGGAGCAGGGGUGAUUUCCUGUCGGGCCGGGGCUCUGCUGCAGGCAGCUGUGUUCCCCUCCGGCGAUAUUUCCCUAUGGAUUCUAAUAAUGGCAACUGUAGAGGCACCGGCAUUGAACGCUGCAAAUGCAAACCUAUAAAAGCUACCCAGAAGACCUAUCUUCGGAACAAUUAUAAUUAUGUCAUUCGGGCUAAAGUGAAGGAGGUGAAGACUAAAUGUCAUGAUGUCACUGCAGUUGUAGAAGUAAAGGAGAUUCUAAAAUCAUCCUUGGUAAACAUUCCUAGAGACACAGUUAACCUUUACACAAACUCUGGUUGUCUGUGCCCACCACUCAACACUAAUGAAGAAUAUAUCAUAAUGGGCUAUGAAGAUGAGGAACGCUCCAGGUUACUCUUGGUAGAAGGCUCCAUAGCGGAGAAAUGGAAGGAUCGUCUUGGUAAAAAAGUAAAGGCAUGAUCUCAUGAGAUGCUGAGGGCCCUCCAUUCCCGGUGAGGGGCAUCAACAUCUCAUAGGAUUGGGCCCUGAGACUCUGAGCCUGUCAACUGAUUCAUCGCUGGGAUCAGAAACUCCGUCAUUCUGGAAAAAGCAAAAAUGAGCCUGGUCAAAGCGAUUCUGCUCAAAAGUCUGGCAAGAAUAACAAUCCACGACAAACACGCAAUUAAAUGUGAAAUGCUGGAUGUAAAAAAUCAAUGGACAAUAUAUUAAGACUUGUAUUGUUGGAGCAAAGGAGAAAUUGCACUAUUGCACGUUAUAUUCUAUUGUUUACUACAAAAUCAUGUUGUAGUUUGAUAUUAGUUUUAUUUUUCCUCCUGUUUCUGCUUUUUGGUGUGUGCACCAACCCUGAAAAUAUAUAUAUUUUAUUUUGCUAAUAACUGUGGAAGACUGCCUUAAGGAGAUUAAAAAAAAAAAAGCAGGGCUGAUGUUAUCAGAAGCACCGCUUACUGUUUUAUCAUCUGAACCUUGCUUAGAAAUUUAUGGCACAUGUAGGAAUUGGAUCUAACAUAGGCCAGAAUCUGAAAACAUGACUUUAACUCGACUUCCCUGCUUCUGUCCCUUCUCAUCACACACUUGAUCAUGGUUAUAGAAACUGUUUUGAUUUUUGUUUUGUUAAGUGUAUAAAAUUUAGUUUGAAAUAUAAUUGCCAUAUAUACAUACAAGUUAAAAAUCGUUUGGCAUUUCUGGAGAAACAAAUAGCAAAAAAAGAAAAAUGUAGGGUUAGCCAAAAACACAGUAAAGAAAUGCCGACAGGUUGAAAACCGCAAUUUAAAUAUAUGACUUUUUGAAGUUAACAUGAAUUUUUUGGUCACUGUUAGAAUUCACUUCAUGAAAAUACUAGUCAGCAUUAAGGAAAGGGAUCAUUUUAAGAUAACUGUUCUAAUCUGUACAGAGCUGUUAAAUUUGCUUCCUCUCUAAUAAACCACUUCUGUGAGUCUAAGUCUCAGUUCCAGCACUCAACAUGACAAAAACCUACUGUGUGCUUGUACACAUGGACUUGUUUUCUAAAUGCUUUUAUCCUUGUGGGAAAUGCUGUAUAGUUCUGUUAACUCAGAACAUAAUUUACGGUAUACUUAUUCUCUUUUAAACUCAAUUCCUUUUUAUUUUCUGCUGAGUUGUAAGAGUAGAGUGUCUUACCAGGCCUGCUUCUCAGUACAGGUCUGCACUUUAUCAUUUCGAUUUUGUGCUGUUAUUCUAUUUCUGUGCCUACAUAAACAUCAGUGUUCAAUGUUCAGUAAAGUACGUCUAAUAAAAGAAUUAUGGUUGUCAACAGAGACCUUAUCCUGACUUUUGCCCCAAAUGCACAUUUUUUAUAAACCAUGAUGUAUUAUUGUCUGCAGUAUGUGCCAGUAAAAAAGGCUUCAUUACCCUCCUCUAACAGAAUUCUUCAGAGCCAGUGCCAACAGUUUGAAUAGCCUGCCUUGCUCUCUCUUUUUAAUUUUUUUUUAACUAGAAUGGUAUAAGUAGAAUACCAAGCUUCUGACCUAUGGUACACAGAAAAUAAAACACAUAUAUUGCAAACUAUUACUGCGUUUUCAGUUGUAAAUACUGUAUAUCCUUUCCUUUGGUAUCUAUAUGUAUCAAGGUUGCUUUUCAUAUGUAGGAAACAACACUGCAGUUUUUAGGUGGUUGAAAGCAAUCUUAUUGAAAUACAAUGUGAAUAAAGUGAUAAAAACAUGGAAA
This is an RNA transcript of Alligator sinensis (Chinese alligator), 2740 nucleotides long. It is a transcript of the gene named frizzled related protein, with no coding region annotated. The transcript has 7 exons. NCBI's taxonomy places the organism in Eukaryota, Metazoa, Chordata, Crocodylia, Alligatoridae. The record is from RefSeq and is a predicted model, not a curated record.